AUACGGAGGAUGCAAGCGUUAUCCGGAUUUAUUGGGUUUAAAGGGUGCGCAGGCGGGCUGUUAAGUCAGCGGUGAAAUCUCCCGGCUCAACCGGGGAACUGCCGUUGAUACUGGCAGCCUAGAGUACAGACGGCGCCGGCGGAAUGUGUCAUGUAGCGGUGAAAUGCUGAGAUAUGCCACAGAACACCGAUCGCGAAGGCAGCUGGCGAGGCGGGAACUGACGCUCAGGCACGAAAGCGUGGGGAUCAAACAGGGUUAGAUACCCUGGUAGUCCACGCAGUAAACGAUGAAGACUUGUUGUCGGCGAUAGAAUGUCGGUGACAAAGCGAAAGCGAUAAGGCUUCCGCCUGGGGAGUACGAUCGCAAGGUUGAAACUCAAAGGAAUUGACGGGG
This 393-nucleotide ribosomal RNA is filed under the name uncultured bacterium. RNAcentral's name for it is "partial 16S ribosomal RNA". It matches the Rfam family "Bacterial small subunit ribosomal RNA", at positions 523 to 918 of the family's 1533-position model. The record is from RNAcentral.